CCAGCUCCGCAGGCUCCUGGCGGAUCACAACAAAAUCUAAAUAUUUAAAGGAAGGAUGUCUACAGCAAUGGGGGUAGGUUUUACAAGACCAGACACUAAAAGAGUUUUCUGCCUAUCACUGAAUUGUUUUUUGUUUUUUUUUUCUGGAUGUGUAUUGUCAAAAUUUGCAAAUGAAGAUUUGCUAUUACUUUCAGACAACAACUGUGUUUGUCUGCAAUGGUUGCUUACGGUUCCCGCCCUUUCUCCAAGGAAGCCUAGCCUAGCCUCCAUUUCUCCUGUCAUACAUUCAGUCUGAACAGGGAGUCGAUGUGCAGGUGUGCAAAUGCUCCUCUCACAUUUCCAGGACAUAAGUGGUUAAAUUAGGGAUAUGCCAGGAGGGAAGUGACAAGGUUUGCACAUGCGUUCUCCCAAAAGGCUUUCCACGCACGUGAAUGGUGCACUUCUACCCAGAAGUAUCAGAAGAUGCCCAAAACAGAUUAGAUGAGGCUAAGAUGAGACCAACAGUAAUUCAGACCUCCACUGCAGAUGAAUCCUAGAUUUGGAAGAGACAUUAGGUGUUAUCUAAUCCAACCACCUGCUCGACGUAGUAUCUCCUGAAGCACUUAGGAUAGAGAGCUAUCCAGCCACUGUUUGAAGACCAGUAGUGAAGGGGAACAUGAAGCAACUUGUUCUACUGGUUGCAGUUCUCCUGUCUAGAAGGAGAAGACAUAUCCUCCUAAUACAUAACCAUAAUCUACUCCCCUUUAGUUUCAACCCAUUGGUUGUGGUCAGGGGUAGUUUCACUUACCUUUACCACCAGUUCGCUACACACACACAGUCCAUGUAUGCAUCCAGCCUUCCAUGCUUGCACUUUGCUCGCUCAUGCGCCUUCCACUCAUGCACCUGGCCUCGAAAACGUGCCUAAAUAGCACGACGUGGAGCUGAUCGCCGCUACCGGUUCACCCGAACCGGUGUGAACCGGCUGAAUACCACCUCUGGUCCCUAUUUCUCUUUCUCUACCUCUUCACCAGGCUGGCUUUGACAGCGGGGACAAAGAAAAUUACUACAACAUUCCUGGUUCCCGAACUCCUGAAAUUCUCAAUAUUAUGGAGACCACCAAUGUUGGUGAACCAGGUCGCUGGUUGUUUCAAGUGGAUAAGUCAAUUAUUGGAGUUCCCACGGCAAAAAGUGAUUGCUUGUAUAAAUAAGUGAAAACCACUUCCAACGCAAACAAUCUGCUUCUGAAUGCCAGCCUGGGACAAGUUGAACAGCAUCUGCCAACUUUCUCAUAUCCCUCUGCUACCCUCUUCAAACAAGUAAAAGUUUUCUGGCGCUGCCAUUGACCGUAGAUUUAGCAAUAAAUGAUCGCACUCACA
Molecule: long non-coding RNA, 1355 nt
Organism: Ahaetulla prasina
Lineage: Eukaryota; Metazoa; Chordata; Lepidosauria; Squamata; Colubridae
Exons: 2
Source: RefSeq, a predicted model, not a curated record